This 327-nucleotide unclassified non-coding RNA is filed under the name Athalia rosae (coleseed sawfly). Its description in RNAcentral is "misc RNA ENSAEAG00005012808.1". The record is from RNAcentral. Lineage: Eukaryota; Metazoa; Arthropoda; Insecta; Hymenoptera; Athaliidae.
AAGCUAAUAAGUACAUGAACAUGUGGGGGAAGUAAAUAUUAAAACGUUAUUACGUCUGUCAUGCGAAGACUUCACCAAGCGAUACACGACUUGCUGUAUAUCUGAAGAACGGAGCUUAAUUAUGCUUAAUUCGAACGCUCUAUCGUCCGAACCGUGAUUUAAAAACGAGGUGUUAUUACAGACAAAAAAAGGAUGCUGCUUCUUCUUUCUACAAAUGGAGACUCGACCAGCAAAAACGAGCAAGAUUCAUCCAACGCUAAGAAAAGUCCCGGCAGUUCCCACAAUCACGAUGAAACGAAGAAUCUAAACCACGCCUUGACGCGGAUG